AUGGCGGCGACAUCAACCACAGCCACGGUCACACCGCUGUUAAUCCACCUACUGCGCGGCGCCACCGACCACGCGUCUGUAGCCGCCACCCACGCAAAGCUGCUCAAGGUCGGCACCGCCUCCGCCGUCUCUUCUUGCAACCACAUCAUCGCUGCUUACUGUCGAUGCGGCGUCACUGCCCGCGCCCACGACCUGUUCGAUGGAAUGCCCGAGCGGGACGUCAUCUCCUGGACAGCCCUCAUGUCUGGGUACUCUAGCACCGGCCGACCCCGCCUGGCUGUUUCCCUCCUCCGUGACAUGUCUCACAGCGGCGUGCCACCGAAUGCCUUCACCUUCUCGACUGCCGUCAGCGCAUGCGCACGCCUUGCUGAUGCUGGACUUGGGCGGAAAGUGCAUGCCCGUGCUGAGGUCGAGGGCUACGCAUCUGAUGCUGUUGUUGCCACCGCGCUCGUUGACAUGUAUGGCAAGGCCGGAGAUGUGGAGGCUGCACGUGCAGUGUUUGAUGGUAUGGCUGCUCCGGCGAGGAAUGCGGUUUCAUGGGGCUCGAUGCUGUCUGUAUAUGCGCAGAAUGCGCUUGGGCGUGAGGCCAUCCAACUUUUCGCUGAGUUCAGAACCAAAGGUAAUUUCAUGGCGCCCAACCACUUCAUGCUGUCAAGCGUUGUGAAUGCGUGUGCAGGCGUUGGGCGGCUUGGAGUUGGCAAGUCUGUGCAUGGAACUGCCCUUCGGUUUGGGCAUGGAUGUAAUGGCGUGAUUGUUGUGGCCUUGGUUGACAUGUACUCCAAGUGUGGAUUCUAUGAGUACUCAAGAAAGUUGUUUGACAGGAUUGAGCAUCCAUCGGUCAUCUGCUAUACCUCCAUCAUUGUGGCAGCAGCAAAGUAUGGUCUUGGGAGAUGCGCACUCACUUUUUUCAAUGAGAUGAUCGAUCGGGAUGUGCAACCGAACAGUGUUACACUGCUUGGCGUCAUGCAUGCUUGCAGCCAUUCAGGUCUUGUUGACACUGGCCUCCAUCUCCUCCACUCCAUGCAGAGCAAAUAUGACAUCCAUCCAUGCGCCAGCCACUAUACUUGUGCGGUUGACAUGCUUGGCCGGGCAGGACGGCUCGAGGAGGCAUUUGAGCUGGCCAACGAAGCGCAAGUUGAAGGCCGUGAUGCCCUCAUGCUGUGGAGCUCAUUGCUGUCCGCUUGCCGGACACAUAGGCGCUUAGAUCUAGCCACCAGGGCUGCCCACAGAGUGUCAGAGUUCAACCAAGAUGUAGCAGGUGCACUGGUAGUGAUGUCAAACGCAUACACUUCAGCCGGCCAGACUGACAAUGCUGCUGCUGUAUGGUCGAACAUGAGGCGACGAGGCAUACAGAAAGAUCCUGGGUGCAGCUGGAUUGAGAUAAAGGACAUACCCUACGUGUUCUACGCUGGAUUGGUAUCACCCUCCGGUGCAAGGGCAGGUGAAGUGAUGAUGUUGCUUGAUGAGUUAGAGGGUAAGAUGCGGGAGAAGGGUUACAAGGGUGGACUAGGUAGUAGCAGAGUCUUUGAUGCUCAUGAGGAGGAUGGAGAGGACGGGAAAGGCGAGAUGGUUGGAGUGCACAGUGAGUUAUUGGCUUUGGGGUUUGGUUUGCUGGUUAUCCCCAAGGGGAUGACCAUCAGGGUGAUGAAGAACCUGAGGAUGUGCUGUGACUGUCAUGACGCGUUCAAGCUCAUAAGUGACAUUAUGGAGCGCGAGUUCGUUGUGAGGGAUCUGAAUAGAUUCCAUCACUUCAAGAUGGGGUCAUGUUCUUGCAAUGACUACUGGUGA
RNAcentral lists this ribosomal RNA (1788 nucleotides) under Triticum aestivum (bread wheat). RNAcentral's name for it is "partial small subunit ribosomal RNA". Lineage: Eukaryota; Viridiplantae; Streptophyta; Magnoliopsida; Poales; Poaceae. The record is from RNAcentral.